Molecule: non-coding RNA, 420 nt
Organism: Microcebus murinus (gray mouse lemur)
Lineage: Eukaryota; Metazoa; Chordata; Mammalia; Primates; Cheirogaleidae
Source: RefSeq, a predicted model, not a curated record
UGUCUAAAGCUUCCAAAUGUGUUUCCCAGCCUCUCCCACACCAUGCCGAGCCCUUCAAGCGCAGGGACUGGAUCUGUGUCUCAUCCAUUUUUGUGACUAGCACAAAGUUGUGUUCAAUGGAUAUUUGUUGCAGUAAUAGUACUAAGUGGAAGACACAGAAAUGAAGAAGCAGGGAAGAAUGGUUGUGGAGCUUCCCUCCAAUAUCGGGUCAGAGCUCAGUGACAUACAUUAAAGAGAAUAUCAGUGAUGUGGAUUAACACAACAAAAAGGUCCUCAAUAUCUGCUGAAAAGACCGCAGGUAAAAAGCAGGCAAGAUACCGUGAGACCACUGCCCUUAUGCAGGAGAUGGAGGACACACAGACACGGGACCACCACAAGAGAAACUGUCCACCACCAAGAAAUAAAAAUGAUACAUCCCCG